AACGAACGCUGGCGGCAUGCCUAACACAUGCAAGUCGAACGAGACCUUCGGGUCUAGUGGCGCACGGGUGCGUAACGCGUGGGAACCUGCCCUUAGGUUCGGAAUAACUCCCCGAAAGGGGUGCUAAUACCGGAUAAUGUCUUCGGACCAAAGAUUUAUCGCCUUUGGAUGGGCCCGCGUUGGAUUAGCUAGUUGGUAGGGUAAAAGCCUACCAAGGCGACGAUCCAUAGCUGGUCUGAGAGGAUGAUCAGCCACACUGGGACUGAGACACGGCCCAGACUCCUACGGGAGGCAGCAGUGGGGAAUAUUGGACAAUGGGCGAAAGCCUGAUCCAGCAAUGCCGCGUGAGUGAUGAAGGCCUUAGGGUUGUAAAGCUCUUUUACCCGUGAUGAUAAUGACAGUACCGGGAGAAUAAGCUCCGGCUAACUCCGUG
This 433-nucleotide ribosomal RNA is filed under the name uncultured bacterium. RNAcentral describes it as "partial 16S ribosomal RNA". It matches the Rfam family "Bacterial small subunit ribosomal RNA", at positions 29 to 507 of the family's 1533-position model. The record is from RNAcentral.